AACGAGGGCGAGAGAAAAGGAUCAAAGUUAGUUUUCAGUCAAACUCAACAAGACAUCGCAUCUCGUGCCUACGUAUCUCAUCUGGACAUGAGAAUCAGAGUUGCCGUAGUUCGGCUAAACAAUUUCUAUUGGUUUUGUGUUUUUUAUGCGAACAACGUCACUACGCAAUCUACCGGAUGCUCGACCUUUGGAGACUUACUCACCUGCAGCAGAAGGAGUCAACGUGUCCUUAAGGGAAAAUAAUGUUUGUCUGUGUUUUAGGAAAGCUCAC
This 271-nucleotide long non-coding RNA is filed under the name Lathyrus oleraceus (garden pea). Its description in RNAcentral is "Pisum sativum (pea) long non-coding RNA (PSAT_LNC009601)". The record is from RNAcentral. Lineage: Eukaryota; Viridiplantae; Streptophyta; Magnoliopsida; Fabales; Fabaceae.